Long non-coding RNA from Gymnodraco acuticeps, 687 nucleotides. RefSeq lists it as uncharacterized. The transcript has 3 exons. Lineage: Eukaryota; Metazoa; Chordata; Actinopteri; Perciformes; Bathydraconidae. The record is from RefSeq and is a predicted model, not a curated record.
UCCCCAUCCUUUCUCACAAGGACUGCGAUGGCUCCUACCCCGGCCUGAUCACUGACCGCAUGGUGUGCGCUGGAUACCUGGAGGGAGGCAUGGAUGCUUGUCAGUUUCCAGGUGAUGCAGACAGACCAGAGGAUGCUGAACACGAGAGACAGACCUAUAUUCCUAAAAGCAGUGAACUUCAUCAUGGAGUCAAAGGAAAGGACAUACCUGAAGGACACAACUGCCACACCGUUUUCUCCGAGGAGCAAGAAGAAAAUGAAAAGCUGAUAUGAGAUUAAAGACCAAUACAGGACAUUCACUUAGAAACUACACUUUUAUUGUGAACACAAGGAUCUGCACACUGAAUAGUGUGUAGUCAAACAGGACCAUCAUUUGUUUGUGAAAGUUGUAUGAACAGUAUGGGCUCACUUAUGCAGUUUGGUGGUUUUCUUCAUCAGGCCUGGUCCUCCUCCCAGAGAAAGACCGCUCCACCUCAGUCUUCUCCGGCCAAACCCACAGACAGGACAUCCAUCACACUGAGGUUCCUCCCAAAGUCUCUGCAGCUCUCUGGAUACCACGCUGUCUCAAUUGAUCCACACUGUGAAUAUGAGAGGGGAACAUUUGUGUAAUAAAUGCUUGUGUUAUAAGUGGCUCAGUUUAUUUUAAUUUUAAAUAAACAAUACUAUUACUGUAUUUUAAUGACGGAAA